This 773-nucleotide ribosomal RNA is filed under the name uncultured bacterium. RNAcentral describes it as "bacterial SSU rRNA". It matches the Rfam family "Bacterial small subunit ribosomal RNA", at positions 8 to 798 of the family's 1533-position model. The record is from RNAcentral.
AGAGUUUGAUCCUGGCUCAGGACGAACGCUGGCGGCGUGCUUAACACAUGCAAGUCGAACGGAAAGGCCCUUCGGGGUACUCGAGUGGCGUACGGGUGAGUAACACGUGGGUGAUCUGCCCUGCACUUUGGGAUAAGCCUGGGAAACUGGGUCUAAUACCGAAUAUGACCAUGCGCCUCCUGGUGUGUGGUGGAAAGCUUUUGCGGUGUGGGAUGGGCCCGCGGCCUAUCAGCUUGUUGGUGGGGUAAUGGCCUACCAAGGCGACGACGGGUAGCCGGCCUGAGAGGGUGACCGGCCACACUGGGACUGAGAUACGGCCCAGACUCCUACGGGAGGCAGCAGUGGGGAAUAUUGCACAAUGGGCGCAAGCCUGAUGCAGCGACGCCGCGUGAGGGAUGACGGCCUUCGGGUUGUAAACCUCUUUCAGCACAGACGAAGCGCAAGUGACGGUAUGUGCAGAAGAAGGACCGGCCAACUACGUGCCAGCAGCCGCGGUAAUACGUAGGGUCCGAGCGUUGUCCGGAAUUACUGGGCGUAAAGAGCUCGUAGGUGGUUUGUCGCGUUGUUCGUGAAAACUCACAGCUUAACUGUGGGCGUGCGGGCGAUACGGGCAGACUUGAGUACUGCAGGGGAGACUGGAAUUCCUGGUGUAGCGGUGGAAUGCGCAGAUAUCAGGAGGAACACCGGUGGCGAAGGCGGGUCUCUGGGCAGUAACUGACGCUGAGGAGCGAAAGCGUGGGGAGCGAACAGGAUUAGAUACCCUGGUAGUCCAA